This 253-nucleotide ribosomal RNA is filed under the name uncultured bacterium. Its description in RNAcentral is "partial 16S ribosomal RNA". It matches the Rfam family "Bacterial small subunit ribosomal RNA", at positions 524 to 776 of the family's 1533-position model. The record is from RNAcentral.
GACAGAGGGUGCAAACGUUGUUCGGAAUUACUGGGCGUAAAGGGCUCGUAGGCGGCCAACUAAGUCACACGUGAAAUCCCCAGGCUUAACCUGGGAACUGCGUGUGAUACUGGAUGGCUUGAAUUCGGGAGAGGGAUGCAGAAUUCCAGGUGUAGCGGUGAAAUGCGUAGAUAUCAAGAGGAACACCUGAGGUGAAGACGGGUUGCUGGGCCGACACUGACGCUGAUGCGCGAAAGCCAGGGGAGCGAACGGG